CAAUUCUCCUGCUUCAGUCUCCCGAGUAGCUGGGACUACAGAUAGUUUACCAGUUCCUAAUGGAGACAAGCUUGGAUUACAGUAUGGCACUGGAAAUAGAAGAAAGUGUGUGGAUUUGGCUUAUAAGUUUAAGCUGUCAGGAUUUGCUGAUAUGUCAGAUGUGAAGAGUGUGAAGGAAAGAAAUAAAGAAUGACCUGGAUUUUGGGCUUAAGUGAGUGUGGUGGAUACGGUAAAUUUGAUUUAGAUUAGGAAGAUGUGGGAAUGAAAAAGUUUGUGGGAGAGGGAUAAUCGAGUGUUCUGUGUUAGACACAUUAAUGUUAAGGUGCCUGUCAGGUUUCCAUGGAUGUAGGAGUCUGGAGCAAAGUGAGGAGAGAGAUGUGCCCUAGAAAUAGAUGGUUGGCUGCAUAGGUGAAUGUUAGAUAAAGAAAAGAUGCAGUUCCAUGAUCAGUUAGGAUAGGUGAGAGAAGAGGGGUUAACAAAGAGGCUGAGGGAUCAUUGAAAGUUUGAAGCAAGAGGAGUGGAAUAGUUCUUAUAAAAAGUGGAAAAUAAAACCUAUACAAGAAGUUGUAGUUUGGGAUUUGUGUUGAUUUGAAAGUAAGACCAGUUAGCAUGAUUUUGUCAUUUUUUUUCUAGUAACUGUUAGCUAUUUGAUGCCAGUGUGGGAUUAGUGGAUAAUUGGAAUUAAUCAAGAUUAGGAUUUUGCCAGGCUAGUACAAUAGAGGGAAGAGGAAGUUUAAUCCUGAUAGGUAAGGGAGGAUGUAUGGAGUUGAGAGAAAUAAUUGGUGGUCAUGGAGAAAUGCAUUGGCAAAUUGAUGAGGUGGGAGAAUGGCUGGAAUGGGAGGACUAGAAUAAGUGAGCUGAAAGGAUAGGAGAUAGUGAUUAGAAAGGAAGUAUAAUGUUAAUUAGGUCAGAGAAUGAAAAGUCAGAGUAGUUCCGGAUAUUGAAGUCACUAAGAGUGGUGGAGGCAAGAGAAAGGAUAGAGAGGAAACUGUGAACCAGGGGUCAUAAAAUCUUAAAAGAAUAAGGAUGACUGGCUAGGCACAAUGGCUCACGCCUGUAAUCCCAGCACUUUGGGAGGCCAAGGCGGGCAGAUCACAAGGUCAGGAGAUCGAGACCAUCCUGGCCAACAUGGUGAAACCUCGUCUGUACUAAAAAUACAAAAAUUAGCCUAGCGUGGCGGCGAGUGCCUGUAGUCCCAGCUACUCGGGAGGCUGAAGCGAGAGAAUUACUUGAACCUGGGAGGCAGAGGCUGCAGUGAGCCAAGAUUACGCCACUGUACUCCAGCCUGGGCGACAGAGCGAGACUCCAUCUCAAAAAAAAAAAAAAGAAUAAGGAUGACCAAGAAGUUAGUAUAUGAUAGCUACAGGAAGAUAGGCGGUGAUACAUUCUGUCCUGAGCAUCAAAGGAAUCUUAACUUUCACCAUUCCCUCUUUAUAUCUUUAUAUUCCCUUAAUGCAAGGUAGUUUUGCUCUUUUAGACUGCCCAUGUUUUCUCUUGUCUUUACACCUUUGCCUGGAAUUUUGCUAUCCAUAAUCUCUUACCCACCACUCCUCCCAGGAAAGUCUUCUAUUAGGUCUCAGUUUAAAUUUACUUUCUCCUGGAAGCUUUUUCUUCAAUCUAGUUUGACUGGGCUCAGAAUCCUCCAAUGUUGACUUGUGUCAUCUAUGAGAGCAUUUUUCACACUCUGUAGUAUUUACUCUUCCCUUUUCUGUCUUUCUAACUGAUAAAAGUUUUCGGAAGACAGGAACUGUUUUUGUUUCAUUACAUUCCUAGUAUUAACACCGUACCUGGCACAUAGUAAGUAUUAAGUAAUGUUUGUUGAAUAAAUGAACCAGUUAAAAACAGUGUUUCAGCCGGGACUAGUGGCUCACGCCUGUAAUCCCAGCACUUUGGGAGGAUGAGGUGGGUAGAUUACUUGAGGUAAGGAAUUUGAGACCAUCCUGGCCAAUGUGGUGAUACCCUCUCUCUACUAAAAAUACAAAAAAAAAAAUUAGCCAGGCCUGGUGGUGCCUGCCUUAGUCCCGGCUACUCAGGAGGCUGAGGCACGAGAAUUGCUUGAGCCUGGGAGGUGGAGGCUGCAGUGAGCUGAGAUCACACCACUGUGCUCCAGCCUGGGUGACAGAGCAAGACUCGGCCUCAAAAAAACAAAAACAAAACAAAACAAUAACAGAGAAAGCAAUGUUCCAUAAAGUAUUGAGUAUAGAGGUUUUACAGCCUAUGACAUAGUUGACUUUUCACUUUUAUUGUGGAUUAAUCAGCUACUUUGUAUUUUUCAAACCUUAUGGGUGCUGCGUUGCUUCUUUUGUAUUGUAGAUCAUGUUCUUAAAUCUGGAAUACAUAAUUAUGACUCUGAGAAGCAGUCACUGGCCACUGGAGAUAGCUUGUUAAAAAUAUUGAGAUGUCUGGAUUUUCUGAUGUUAUGUUAUAGAAUAAAGGGGCAUAUUUAAAACUGAAGUCCACAGUUGGCUUAAUGGAAAAGUUUUGUGACCCUAAGAAUGUGCUGGGAGAAAGUUGUCUGGGGUAGGAUGAGAGACCCAAUGUGAAGAACAGAGAAAUACAGGAGCUUUUUCAUUUUUCUUCAUGGUGAUGGUCUUGGUUGCCAUAGCUUUUAGAUGGCUGUCCUUACUUGCUGGUUUUUUUUUUUUUAGCCCCAGUUUAUAAAAAAUUAUCUUUCAACUUCAUGAAUACUAGGAUGUAUUACUAUGUAUUGAUUCGUGUCUUCCAAUUCUGUGUUGAAACCUUGUAGGUAAAAUGUUUAGACUUUUCUUCAUUAACUUUUAGUUUUCAUUAAAAAUUUUACAGUAUGUAGAAGAGUUCAUAGUUUACAAAACUGGCAAUUGCAUAAUAUUACUGAAGUAGAAAUGGCUUAAUUAACAUCUUUCAAUUUUUUUUGUUUGUUUAAGUGGAAAUCCAUAGGUAACUUUUUACUAUUAGUAAGAUUGAAGACUGGAGGGCUUGAGUUGAAAUACUUCCUUAGUAGUAAAUUGACUUGGAAAUAUGAAUUAAGAGAUGAAAAGGAAUUGCAUUAGCAAUGCGAAUAGAAAAUUAAUUUAAUUGGAAUGAUUCUAUUGUGGAUUUUAUAGUGAUAUUGAUUCCAUUCAUUAUGAGUUUAUCUUUUCCACAUAAUAAUUUCAGUUCCUGAUUAAUAAGAGUUAAAUAAGACCUGUAACUGUACUGUUUUAUUAGAUUUCUAGGUGUUUAGUAUAUCUUAAGUCUGAGUAUUAGUGUAUACCAAAACCCUACUAACAUGAAUAGGAAUCAGAAAUAUAGUUAGAUCUUUUUUGUGUAGUUGCCGUUGUACUCCAGUUAGUUCCUUUUAUAAACAUAAUGCAGGAUCUUUCAAUUCUUGUGUAUUAAAGUUAAAAACAAAAAGAAUUGAGAGUAUCACAUUUAACUUGUUGGAAAGAAAUGGUGGAUUUCAAAAACUGGUACUCCAAAACUCUUUUGGAUUAUAGCGCGAAUUUGUAUAGUUAAAUUUCUGAAAGAUCUCUUUAGUAAAUUGAAUCUGUAAGGUCUCUGUUUAGAAGAUCUCUUUUUCUGAAAGCCUCUUUGCCUUUCAUUAUAAAAGAGCCUGGUACUGCUCUCUGUUUUAAAAAUCCAGCUGGAAAAUUACAGAGCACAAACAUUUGCCCAUCGGUUCUUCAUUUGGAGAAAACAGAAAUAUGUCUUCAAAAUGGAGGCUGACAUUUAAGUAUUUAUUCCUAUCAGCGGGAGCUGUAGUUUGUAUUUUUUGCAUUUUACUUCUGUAACCACAUAUAAUAUAUCUUGGCUUCUGCGUGGUGUAACUGUAAAACACCAUCUUUAUUUUAUGUCAUUUUGUGAUUGUUGUUCAAAUCCUCCAAUGAUCUGUUUCUGAGCCCCUCAGAAUCUCUAAAAAAAUCAAGGUAUCCUUCCUUUUCUUUUUGGCUCUAUUAAAUUGAAACAUAAAUGGUUGAUUCUAAUAAUAAAAAUUGGCUCAUAAA
This is a long non-coding RNA of Homo sapiens (human), 3962 nucleotides long. RefSeq lists it as uncharacterized. Lineage: Eukaryota; Metazoa; Chordata; Mammalia; Primates; Hominidae. The transcript is spliced from 2 exons. The record is from RefSeq and is a predicted model, not a curated record.